This 429-nucleotide ribosomal RNA is filed under the name Chloroflexota bacterium. RNAcentral's name for it is "Chloroflexi bacterium partial 16S ribosomal RNA". It matches the Rfam family "Bacterial small subunit ribosomal RNA", at positions 355 to 776 of the family's 1533-position model. Lineage: Bacteria; Bacillati; Chloroflexota. The record is from RNAcentral.
UAGGGAAUCUUCGGCAAUGGACGAAAGUCUGACCGAGCAACGCCGCGUGAGUGAAGAAGGUUUUCGGAUCGUAAAACUCUGUUGUUAGAGAAGAACAAGGACGUUAGUAACUGAACGUCCCCUGACGGUAUCUAACCAGAAAGCCACGGCUAACUACGUGCCAGCAGCCGCGGUAAUACGUAGGUGGCAAGCGUUGUCCGGAUUUAUUGGGCGUAAAGCGAGCGCAGGCGGUUUGUUAAGUCAGAUGUGAAAUCCCCGGGCUCAACCUGGGAACUGCAUCUGAUACUGGCAAGCUGGAGUCUCGUAGAGGGGGGUAGAAUUCCAGGUGUAGCGGUGAAAUGCGUAGAGAUCUGGAGGAAUACCGGUGGCGAAGGCGGCCCCCUGGACGAAGACUGACGCUCAGGUGCGAAAGCGUGGGGAGCAAACAGG